CCUACGGGUGGCAGCAGUGGGGAAUAUUGCGCAAUGGGCGAAAGCCUGAUGCAGCGACGCAGCGUGAGGGAUGAAGGUCUUCGGAUCGUAAACCUCUGUCAGCAGGGAAGAACGGUCACUGUACUAAUUAGUAGUGAAUUGACGGUACCUGCAAAGGAAGCACCGGCUAACUACGUGCCAGCAGCCGCGGUAAUACGGAGGGUGCGAGCGUUAUUCGGAAUUACUGGGCGUAAAGCGCUCGUAGGCGGUAUGUCAAGUCAAGGGUGAAAUCCCCGGGCUCAACGUGGGAACUGCUUUUGAAACUGGCAAACUGGAGUGAGGAAGAGGAUAGUGGAAUUCCAGGUGUAGGAGUGAAAUGCGUAGAUAUAUGGAAGAACAUCAGUGGCGAAGGCGACUAUCUGGCACAUAACUGACGCUGAGGAGCGAAAGCGUGGGUAGCAAACAGGAUUAGAUACCCCAGUAGUC
This 465-nucleotide ribosomal RNA is filed under the name uncultured bacterium. RNAcentral's name for it is "partial 16S ribosomal RNA". It matches the Rfam family "Bacterial small subunit ribosomal RNA", at positions 338 to 795 of the family's 1533-position model. The record is from RNAcentral.